This 71-nucleotide transfer RNA is filed under the name Loxodonta africana (African savanna elephant). It matches the Rfam family "tRNA". Rfam says of the family: Transfer RNA (tRNA) molecules are approximately 80 nucleotides in length. Their secondary structure includes four short double-helical elements and three loops (D, anti-codon, and T loops). Lineage: Eukaryota; Metazoa; Chordata; Mammalia; Proboscidea; Elephantidae. The record is from Rfam by way of RNAcentral.
GCAGUGGUGGUUCAGUGGUAGAAUUUUUGCUUUCCAUGCAGGACACCUGGGUUCAAUUCCUGGCCAAGGCA